CCCAGCCGAGGGCGGCGAGGAUCGCGCGGUCGUGUUUGUCGAACGCGGCGGGGUCGGCGCGCUCGAUCAGAUCGGGGCGGUUGAGG
This 86-nucleotide transfer RNA is filed under the name Streptomyces platensis. RNAcentral describes it as "tRNA-Asp". The record is from RNAcentral. Lineage: Bacteria; Bacillati; Actinomycetota; Actinomycetes; Kitasatosporales; Streptomycetaceae.